AAAAAAAAUCUGUUACGUUGUUACGCCGCUCACCAAUCUAUUACGUUUUUACGAUACAGCCAAUCCAACUAUUUAAAAAUUCAACUAUAAUAAAAAAAAGUUGAUAAACUGGCUUUUAAAAUGUUCAUUCCACAUUUUGUGUAUAAUAAAUUAAUUAUUGCACGUGUAUUGCACGUUGACCGAAUUGGAGCCACUGCCGUCUGCUGUGAGUAUUAUAACCUUAUAUCUCUGGUAUAACCUAACAUUUUACAAGAAAGAACCAUAGACAAAGAAAUAAAAUUAUUUGUUUCUUUGUCUAUGGAAGGAACUGUGAAGGAAAGCGGGGAACCGGGGGAACACUAAAACGGGGAAUCACUAACCAGUAACCACUAACCACCAAAGUAAGUUUUGUUGUGAACUUAAGUAUUUUAGAAAGUUUUAUUAUGAUGAAGAAGUGGUUAUCUACAUCUGGUGUUUCCAAAAUAGAUGCUGCAAAAUCUGCAGAUCCUCCCAUUAUUACUGCUUCUGUUCGUCCUACAUCAGAACAUAGUAGCUGUUCAGACUCUCAUAUAGCAGGCUCUAGAAGCCAGCCAGAUUCCCCUAUACAAAACUCCAGCAGUCAGCCAGAUUCUCCUGUACCAGGCCCUAGUAGGAGGCGGCAUUCCAGUAUUACAGACUCGGAUUCUAGUAGUGAUGAAUCCACUGGCACAAAAGCUGUUUUAAAAAGGCGAAAAGUAACUACAACCAGUUAUAAACAAAAAUUUCGGGAUAAAUGGUGUGAAGAUAAAAGAUAUGCAAAUUGGUGCAAAUCAUCAUCGGAUGGAAGUUCAGCAUUCUGUACUGUUUGUGACAAAAAAAUAAUUGGAGGAAUUACUCAUAUAAAAAGGCACAGUAUAACGUUACUACAUAAAAAAAAUAAAGAAAGCAGAAAAAACACCAAAAAUUCAAGAGCUGCUGUCGAUCAAUCCUAACAAAGAAUUACAUUCCAUUAAAGUGAAAGCAGCAGAGUUAAGAUGUGUUAUGUUUCUUCACGAACAUAAUUUACCCUUUUUAUUGAUGGACCACCUCCCAAAAUUUAUAGGAUCAGUGUGUCCAGACUCAAAUAUUGCAGCAGACCUUAAAAUAUCUAGGACGAAAGCCACCCUAAUUACUAAACAUUGUUUUACAUCCUCCGCUUUAGAGAAUAUUGCUUAAAAAGUUGACAAAUCAGUUGCUUAUAGUUUGAUAAUGGAUGAAACCACUGAUGUGGCAACACAAAAGUCAUUAGUUGUAGUGAUAAGAUUUUAUGAUGAAAAGGUGACAGACCACUUUUUUGGUCUUUUAGAAAUACAUCAAGAAAUUGUGAAUCAGUUAAAUCUUGAAUUCCAAAGUGAGAAAUGUAAGAUAUAUUUAUUAAGGUGACAGAGUUAGUGCCUUAUACAAGACGAUAUUAAGGAAUUAUUUAAAAAAAACAUUACCUUGACCAAACUAGUUUAGAAAGAAUAGACGUAAAAAAUCCCAGAAAUUUUUUACCAAUUGAAGAAGUUUAUUUUGGCGCUAGGGUCCAGGUAAUGUUAUCCUCAGAGGAAAAUAAUAAUUCUGUCAACAAUUUUAGACUAAGAUGUCUUGAUUUUUAUAUUGAGCUAUGCUCCCAAAUUCAGAAAAGAUUUUCAUUCAAUGAUCCAAUUUUGAAUUUCUGUAAAAUAUUUAAUCCUUUGACUGUAGUAAGUGG
RNAcentral lists this unclassified non-coding RNA (1690 nucleotides) under Sitophilus oryzae (rice weevil). Its description in RNAcentral is "uncharacterized LOC115890858, transcript variant X1". The record is from RNAcentral. Lineage: Eukaryota; Metazoa; Arthropoda; Insecta; Coleoptera; Curculionidae.